RNAcentral lists this ribosomal RNA (414 nucleotides) under Triticum aestivum (bread wheat). RNAcentral's name for it is "partial small subunit ribosomal RNA". The record is from RNAcentral. Lineage: Eukaryota; Viridiplantae; Streptophyta; Magnoliopsida; Poales; Poaceae.
UCUAAACCGGUCUUUUUGCAAGAACUUAUGGACCUCUCUGUAUCUAUGUCUUGCCCUUGGGUCAUCGUCGGUGAUUUUAACUUGACACUUCGCCCAGCCGACAAAUCCUCGGAUAACUUCAACAUGCACGAAGCUCUUUUCUUUUCUUCGGCUAUCCAAUCCAUGCAACUGCAGGAUCUCCCCCUUCUGGAGAGGAGGUUUACUUGGUCCAAUCAGCAGGACGUGCCGAUUUUAGUACGUCUAGACAGGGCAUUGGUUAAUGUGGCUUGGACUCAAAUGUUCCCAGACAGCUCUCUCUCGUCCUCUACUAGGUCGACCUCUGACCACGUUCCAAUCUGCCUAUCGGCUGCUACUCAAAUCCCGAAGCCCUCUGUCUUUCGUUUAAACAACUCUUCUGAGCAACAAUUUAUUUAA